RNAcentral lists this ribosomal RNA (253 nucleotides) under uncultured bacterium. RNAcentral's name for it is "partial 16S ribosomal RNA". It matches the Rfam family "Bacterial small subunit ribosomal RNA", at positions 524 to 776 of the family's 1533-position model. The record is from RNAcentral.
UACGUAGGGUGCAAGCGUUGUCCGGAAUUAUUGGGCGUAAAGAGCUCGUAGGCGGUUUGUCGCGUCUGCUGUGAAAACUCAGGGCUUAACUCUGAGCUUGCAGUGGGUACGGGCAGACUAGAGUGCGGUAGGGGAGACUGGAAUUCCUGGUGUAGCGGUGAAAUGCGCAGAUAUCAGGAGGAACACCGGUGGCGAAGGCGGGUCUCUGGGCCGUAACUGACGCUGAGGAGCGAAAGCGUGGGGAGCGAACAGG